UACGUAGGGCGCGAGCGUUGUCCGGAAUUAUUGGGCGUAAAGAGCUCGUAGGCGGCCUGUUGCGUCCGCUGUGAAAUCCCGGGGCUCAACCCUGGGCGUGCAGUGGAUACGGGCAGGCUGGAGGCAGGCAGGGGAGAACGGAAUUCCCGGUGUAGCGGUGAAAUGCGCAGAUAUCGGGAGGAACACCAGUGGCGAAGGCGGCGAUCUGGGAAGAUACUGACGCUGAGGUGCGAAAGCGUGGGGAGCAAACAGG
This 253-nucleotide ribosomal RNA is filed under the name uncultured bacterium. RNAcentral's name for it is "partial 16S ribosomal RNA". It matches the Rfam family "Bacterial small subunit ribosomal RNA", at positions 524 to 776 of the family's 1533-position model. The record is from RNAcentral.